Molecule: ribosomal RNA, 490 nt
Filed under: uncultured bacterium
Lineage: Bacteria
Description: partial 16S ribosomal RNA
Rfam family: Bacterial small subunit ribosomal RNA
Source: RNAcentral
AGUGAACGCUGGCGGUAGGCCUAACACAUGCAAGUCGAACGGCAGCACAGUAAGAGCUUGCUCUUACGGGUGGCGAGUGGCGGACGGGUGAGGAAUACAUCGGAAUCUACUUUUUCGUGGGGGAUAACGUAGGGAAACUUACGCUAAUACCGCAUACGACCUACGGGUGAAAGCAGGGGAUCUUCGGACCUUGCGCGAUUGAAUGAGCCGAUGUCGGAUUAGCUAGUUGGCGGGGUAAAGGCCCACCAAGGCGACGAUCCGUAGCUGGUCUGAGAGGAUGAUCAGCCACACUGGAACUGAGACACGGUCCAGACUCCUACGGGAGGCAGCAGUGGGGAAUAUUGGACAAUGGGCGCAAGCCUGAUCCAGCCAUACCGCGUGGGUGAAGGAGGCCUUCGGGUUGUAAAGCCCUUUUGUUGGGAAAGAAAAGCAGCAGGUUAAUACCCCGCUGUCCUGACGGUACCCAAAGAAUAAGCACCGGCUAACUUCG